GACGAACGCUGGCGGCAUGCCUAACACAUGCAAGUCGAACGGUAAGGCUUCCUUCGGGAAGUACACGAGUGGCGAACGGGUGAGUAACACGUGGGUAACCUACCCUUGACUGGGGGACAACCGAGGGAAACUUCGGCUAAUACCGCUUAACGUGCAUUGCCUCAAGGUGGUGUACCAAAGCUCCGGCGGUUAAGGAUGGGCCCGCGGCAGAUUAGCUUGUUGGUGAGGUAACGGCUUACCAAGGCGACGAUCUGUAGCUGGUCUGAGAGGAAGAUCAGCCAACCGGGAACCGAGACACGGUCCAGACUCCUGCGGGAGGGAGCAAUGGGGGAUCUUGCGAAAAGGGCGAAAGCCUGAAGCAGCAAUGCCGCGUGAGGGAAGACGGCCUUAGGGUUGUAAACCUCUUUCAGCAGGGACGAACACAGACGGUACCUGCAGAAGAAGCCCCGGCUAACUACGUGCCAGCCGCCGCGGUAA
RNAcentral lists this ribosomal RNA (477 nucleotides) under uncultured bacterium. RNAcentral describes it as "partial 16S ribosomal RNA". It matches the Rfam family "Bacterial small subunit ribosomal RNA", at positions 28 to 523 of the family's 1533-position model. The record is from RNAcentral.